Long non-coding RNA from Homo sapiens (human), 2657 nucleotides. Ensembl annotates it as zinc finger protein 37B, pseudogene. Its record names the gene ZNF37BP. Lineage: Eukaryota; Metazoa; Chordata; Mammalia; Primates; Hominidae. The record is from Ensembl.
GGGCUCCCGGCAUCUCCCUGCUUCGGGGCAGAGGAUGCCGGGGGUAGAGUACGGGAGGGCUGGAGCGAGGGUGGACUGGAGGUGCCGCUUGUCCUGGAGGUGGGAGAGAGGGAGCGGCUUUGCCGCCUGGCCUGCGUCCUAAUCCUGUCCUGGUUCUUCUGCUCCCGAAGGGAACGUAGGUCCCGCGCCUGUGAUAAGUAAGGUUGGAUUUUCUCUUCCCUGAGGUGAAGGAUGCCCGGAGGCCUCGGCAGGACCGUGCGGAAACGGGCCUUCUGCCCAAAAGAUGCUGCUUCUCUCCUUAUUCUUUCCCCUCAGAAUCUCGCUGUCUCCUUCCAACCACCUGUGGUCGGCAUCCCCGCGUUGUCACUGCGACGCAGAGGCGAGCGAGGUGGCGGGAAGCACCCGCGGGGCGGGGAGGGACCCUGCGGGCGCGGACUCCACACCAAGCCUCUGCUCAGCGUCACCCCGCUUGCUGUGUCCUCGCAGGUCGCAGCUUCAUGGCCUGAUGCCUUCAGGAAGUAUUUUGAAGUCAUCGUGGCUGUGGAUUGGGGGAUUUCUUGUUUCCACUGACCUGUGAGGCCGCGCACGUGGAGGGAGGCACCCCGGGUCCUCCGGCACUGUCCGGCCUCGCCUGUGUCCCUAGUAGCAGUGGGCAUUUCCAGACGGUGCAGCUUGUGGCUAAAGUGACAGGAAGAUGUAGGAGCUUUCAGUCUUGGAUGAGGAUUCGAACUGAAGGGCUUAGGCCCAGCUGUCUUGGAGCAAAACAUCUGUUGUGGGAUGUGGCGGCAGAGGAGGGCAAGGCCGAAGGAGCAGACAGCACCGCUUCUUGGGGAGUUGUGAAGGCAUCAUGCGGAGGGCCGAGCUUAGCAGCCAAGUGGAGGACAGCACCCUCCAUGCCUGGAUUCGUUACUCGCUCGUUCUCGAUGUUGAGCUGCUGGCAUAUUGCAGCACAACUAGAGAUGUACGGAUGCCCCCAUCUUGAUCUUACAGAAUCAGAGGUGCAGCCGCAAGAAAGGUCUCUACACCCUCUCGGUUUUCUCUGCUCUGCCAACACUAGUGGAAUAUGAUCACAUCCCAGGGAUCAGUGUCAUUUAGGGAUGUGACUAUGGGCUUCACUCAAGAGGAGUGGCAUCAUCUGGACCCUGCUCAGAGGACCCUGUAGAGGAAUGUGAUGCUGGAGAACUACAGCCACCUUGUCUCAGUAGGGUAUUGCAUUCCUAAACCAGAAGUGAUCCUCAAAUUGGAGACAGGCAAGGAGCCAUGGAUAUUAGAGGAAAAAUUUCGAAGCCAGAGUCAUCUGGGUGAGUUAGUGCCAGAUGGAAUUUAAAGAAUUAAUUAAUACCAGUAGAAACUAUUCAAGAAUGAAGUUCAAUGAGUUUAACAAAGGUGGAAAAUGUUUCUGUGAUGAAAGCAUGAAAUAAUUCAUUUUGAAGAGGAACCUUCUGAAUAUAAUAACAAUGGGAACAGCUUCUGGCUGAAUGAAGACCUCAUUUGGCAUCAGAAGAUUAAAAAUUGGGAGCAACCUUUUGAAUACAAUGAAUGUGGGAAAGCUUUCCCUGAGAAUUCACUCUUCCUUGUACAUAAGAGAGCUUACACAGGACAGAAAACAUGCAAAUAUACUGAACAUGGGAAAACCUGUUAUAUGUCAUUUUUUAUUACUCAUCAGCAAACACAUCCAAGAGAGAACCACUAUGAAUGUAAUGAAUGUGGAGAAAGUAUCUUUGAGGAAUCCAUUCUCUUUGAACAUCAGAAUGUUUACCCAUUCAGCCAGAAUUUAAAUCCCACUCUAAUUCAGAGAACCCACUCAAUUAGCAAUAUUAUUGAAUAUAAUGAAUGUGGAACCUUUUUCAGUGAAAAAUUAGCCCUUCAUUUACAACAGAGAACACAUCCAGGGGAAAAACCUUAUGAAUGUCAUGAAUGUGGAAAAACCUUCACCCAGAAGUCAGCCCACACAAGACAUCAGAGAACACACACAGGGAAAACCCUAUGAAUGUCACGGAUGUGGGAAGACCUUCUAUAAGAAUUCAGACCUCAUUAGAAAUCAAAGAAUUCACACAGGGGAGAGACCUUACAGAUGUCAUGAAUGGAGAAAUCCUUCAGUGAAAAGUCAUCCCUUACUCAAAAUCAGAGAACACACGUGGGGAGAAAUCAUGAAUGUCAUGAAUGUGGGAAAACCUCGUUUAAGUCAGUUCUAACUGUGCAUCAGAAAACACACAGGGGAGAAGCCCUAUGAAUGCUAUGCAUGUGGCAACACCUUUCUCAGAAAAUCCGACCUCAUUAAACAUCAGAGAAUUCACACAGGAGAAAAACCUUAUGAAUGUAAUGAAUGUGGGAAGUCAUUCUCCGAGAAGUCAACCCUUACUAAACAUCUAAGAACACACAGAUGGGAAAUCUUAUGCAUGUAUUCAAUGUGGAAAAUUUUUCUGCUGCUACUACAGUUUCACAGAACAUCUGAGAAGACACACAGGGGAGAAACCUUUUGGAUGUAAUGAAUGUGGGAAAACCUUCCAUCAGAAGUUGGCCCUAAUUGUUCACCAGAGAACUCAUAUAAGACAGAAACCCUAUGGAUGUAAUGAAUGUGGAAAAUCAUUCUGUGUGAAGUCAAAACUCAUUGCACAUCAUAGAACAUACACAGGGGAGAAACCCUAUGAAUGUAA